This 273-nucleotide ribosomal RNA is filed under the name uncultured bacterium. RNAcentral's name for it is "partial 16S ribosomal RNA". It matches the Rfam family "Bacterial small subunit ribosomal RNA", at positions 524 to 796 of the family's 1533-position model. The record is from RNAcentral.
UACGGGGGGAGCAAGCGUUGUUCGGAUUUACUGGGCGUAAAGGGCGCGUAGGCGGCGCAACAAGUCACUUGUGAAAUCUCCGGGCUUAACUCGGAGCGGCCAAGUGAUACUGUCGUGCUAGAGUGCGGAAGGGGCAACUGGAAUUCUCGGUGUAGCGGUGAAAUGCGUAGAUAUCGAGAGGAACACCUGCGGCGAAGGCGGGUUGCUGGGCCGACACUGACGCUGAGGCGCGAAAGCCAGGGGAGCGAACGGGAUUAGAUACCCCAGUAGUCC